UAUUAUUAUGCAAUAACUGUAAAUAAGGUUGGGGCAUGGUAUUAAGAAGGAUAUCAUUGAUGAUAUGGGUCUUUAGAUCUUUUAUCUGUCUGAAGUGCUUCUGCAAAUUUUAAUUCCUCAUGGUAAUGUAUUGUAUUUAAAAUCCUUACUUGAGUCCAUUCGAAAUUCUGGGUAGUUUCAAAAAACAUAUCAACAAGGCAAUGGAAGGGUUAUGCAUUUUCAAAUCUCUUUUAAGCUCUUCUAAUCUAGCAUUUAAGGGUUUGGAAGUGCUACCAAUAUAUUCUUCUCUCUUACUAAUGAUUGUAUUUACAGCUGGUAUAAAAUAUAUUCCUUAUUGGGCAGAUGGAAGUAAUUUAUCCUUAUCAUUUCUUAAAAGCAUAUUUAUAAAUUUUUUAACCUGUU
RNAcentral lists this long non-coding RNA (402 nucleotides) under Androctonus crassicauda. Lineage: Eukaryota; Metazoa; Arthropoda; Arachnida; Scorpiones; Buthidae. The record is from RNAcentral.